This 437-nucleotide unclassified non-coding RNA is filed under the name Hevea brasiliensis (rubber tree). Lineage: Eukaryota; Viridiplantae; Streptophyta; Magnoliopsida; Malpighiales; Euphorbiaceae. The record is from RNAcentral.
GAAUUGUAUGAUGAAGCUUUGGUCCUUCCUCGUUUUGGUUGGUGGGUCCUAUGUGGGAAUAAACUAUAAACGUGACAUUGGAUUUUAAAGUUAAAAUCGAUGACCCUCCACCAGAAAACCCUCCCAAAGUGAAUGGUCAACAGUUAAUUGUAGUUGAGAGGAGAUUUAGGAUCAUUAAUAUCUUGAUAACCCUAUGAAUAUAUUAGAUUAUCACAUGGUAGCUAUGGUGGAAGUUUAUUGCAAGUAUUUUGUUACCCUUGUUCUAUGGAAGUACCUCUCCAUAUUCCGGCGGCUAAUAAUAAAAAAGAUAUCCUUUGGAUAAGUGUUUAACCAGUUGGCCUUGCAUAAUUACUUAUCUAUGACUUGUUGGGAUUUUUAUACAUCAGCAUAUGUGUUUAACUGUUGACAAUAUUAUUAGGUUGCUAAGGAUCCUUCUG